ACCUACGGGGCGCAGCAGUGGGGGAUAUUGCACAAUGGGGGGAACCCUGAUGCAGCGACGCCGCGUGGGUGAAGGAGCGUUUCGGCGCGUAAAGCCCUAUCGGCAGGGAAGAAGAUGACGGUACCUGACCAAGAAGCCCCGGCUAACUACGUGCCAGCAGCCGCGGGAAUACGUAGGGGGCAAGCGUUAUCCGGAUUUAGUGGGUGGAAAGGGGGCGCAGACGGCAAUGCAAGCCAGGAGGGAAAGGCCGGGGGCCAACCCCGGGAUGGCUCUUGG
Molecule: ribosomal RNA, 276 nt
Filed under: uncultured bacterium
Lineage: Bacteria
Description: partial 16S ribosomal RNA
Rfam family: Bacterial small subunit ribosomal RNA
Source: RNAcentral